Molecule: small nuclear RNA, 265 nt
Filed under: Erinaceus europaeus (western European hedgehog)
Lineage: Eukaryota; Metazoa; Chordata; Mammalia; Eulipotyphla; Erinaceidae
Description: 7SK RNA
Rfam family: 7SK RNA
About the family: 7SK was discovered as an abundant small nuclear RNA in the mid-70s but a possible function has only recently been suggested. Two independent studies have found that 7SK RNA binds the CDK9/cyclin T complex (known as elongation factor P-TEFb). P-TEFb activates transcription by phosphorylating the C-terminal domain of RNA polymerase II.
Source: Rfam by way of RNAcentral
GGAUGUGAGGGCGAUCUGGCUGCGACAUUGAUCGCCAGGGUUGAUUCAGCUGGUCUGGCUAGGCUGGUGUCCCCUUCCUUCCUCACCGCUCCAUGUGCGUCCCUCCCGAAGCUGCACGCUAGGUGGAAGAGGACGGCCUUCCCUGAAUAGAGACAGACCAGUCUUCGGUCGAGGGUAUACGAGUAGCUGCGCUCCCCUGCUAGAACCUUCAAACAAGCUAGAAAGGAAGGAAGGGAGGAAGGAAGGAAGGAAGGAAGGAAGGAAG